CCUAAAGAACCAACUUCUUCUAUAAUAUCCUUGGGUGUAAUGGAAGAUGAUUACACUCAACUUAGAGAGGGAAUAGUGUUGGGAGCUUAUGAAACAGGAAGCUGGUUAGGGUUGAAGCAAAAGAAUAUGAGUUCCUACGGUUGGUUGGGUCUUGGGGAAUCUAGGUCUGAUAUUACACUACAAAUGUGGAGACAUACUUGUUUAACUCUGAACACAAAUACAGGU
Eurytemora carolleeae is the source of this 225-nucleotide long non-coding RNA. RefSeq lists it as uncharacterized. The transcript is spliced from 3 exons. The record is from RefSeq and is a predicted model, not a curated record. Lineage: Eukaryota; Metazoa; Arthropoda; Copepoda; Calanoida; Temoridae.